GUAGGGGGAGCUCGGAGCGGCCAGGAUGCACAGCACGCAGCCGCCGCUGCGCUCCGCCCUCAGCCCGGCGCCGGGCGGGCCCGGCGAACCGGAGCGCCCCACACGCCGCCCCCGCCAGCUGCUGCUGCUGCUCGGGCCCCGCCGCGCUGGGCCGCAGGAGCAAAGCUUUGUGUUUAAAAUGGAAGUUGAUGUGACUGGAGAGACCAGAAGUGCGCUCUCCACCCUCUCUGUGCCUCUUGCAGAGGUGAGUUCUGCAGCCAGGACGGAAGCAGAAAAGCCACGCUGUUCCAGCACCCCCUGCUCACCAUUGAGGCAGACAGUUGCAGGAUAUCAGAUCCUUCACAUGGAUUCUAACUACCUGGUUGGCUUCACAACUGGAAAGGAGCUACUAAAAUUGGCCCAUAAGUAUAUUGGAAGUGAAGAGAAUAAAGGAGAAUCUGGUCCUAGCUUGGGCUCCAAACAUCUUGAUUCAGGACUUUCACGUUCCUCGUGUUUGUACAAAACUAGAAGUAGGUACUACCAGCCCUAUGAGAUCCCAGCAGUAAAUGGAAGGAGGAGGAGACGGAUGCCCAGCUCAGGGGAUAGGUACAGUAAAGCUUUACCAUAUGAAUCUUACAAAGCACUUCAUGGUCCCCUGCCUCUCUGCCUUCUGAAAGGUAAAAGGGCUCAUUCAAAAUCCCUAGACUACCUCAAUUUAGACAAAAUGAGCAUUAAGGAACCUGCUGAUGCAGAGGUGCUACAAUACCAGCUCCAACACCUUACUCUUAGAGGGGAUCGUAUGUUGGCAAGGAAUAGCACAUGAGCUAUCAUCUUAAAUUUAGAAAUGGUUUCUGAUCUUUUGUCUAUUGCUGCAGAAAUCCACUGUUGUACUGUGCACAUGACUGUCCACAUUGUGGGUGGUUUUAUCAGCUCAGUGUUACCAGGAAGUAAUUUAUUUGAAUACGGUCUUGGAAAUGCAAUGUUCUACAAAUACUUGGAGAGCGAAAUCUUUCCUGAUCCAGCAGCUUCUGAUGCAAAUUUGACUGCAACUAGGGGAUAUUUCUUUGGACACAUUUUAACAAAAAAAAUAUUUUUUUCCUGUACUGCUACAUCUAGUGUUUACAGUAAUUCAGCACUGAAAAAUUUGUGAUGUCUGCUUGGUUGUUGCUAAUUUUGGUUUGAUAUCAGAAACUGCUCUUGGAUAAGUACCCAAGGAGGUUUUUUGGGUUUACUUUUUGUUUCUGUAGUAAAAUGUAUGUGUUUUUCUUACAGCAUGGACAGGAAAAUGAGUUUGACUGGAUGAAUCACUUGCUAUUUAAACAAUCCAAUUCAUACAUUUUGAGACUGCGCUUUUACUGGUGAUGUGGGCUUCCAGUUAAUGGGAAGAUUGCCACUGGUUUUAACAUUAGAGGAUCUGGACUUCAGAAAUACAAAGCUGUGACACUUUUUUUGCUGUAAAACCUCCAAUCAGCUGCCUGCUUUCGUAUCUCCUGUGGAGUUCUUGUUGAUUACUUUAGAACUUCAGCCAGAAGACGGCUGCUUUCUCAAAGAAUUUUUCUUGGCCAAUUAGAAGAAACUUUUCUGCACUUUGUUCCAGCUGAACACUUACCUAUGGAUGAGUUACUGGUAUACCUCUGGAGUAACAUUUACAUUAUAGUUAGAUUUAUAAUUGUUAUAGGAAUGAGGAAGUCAGGUAACACACAGAAUUUAUCCACAGAAAUCCUAAACAUGUUUUAAUUAUUUAGAAAUGAGGCAGUCCAAAAAGCAAGAAACCUCCAAGCAAAGCAUUUCAUUAAACCAUAUCUGACUCAUGAGAAGAUUUUGGGUAGCUAUUACAGGGUUGUUGUUAAGAAAGGCUGAUGUUAAUAAUUCAAAAGCCUGCUUAAAUGCACAGGACAAGGCAGACAGUGUAUGAUGGACUGCUUAGUUGGAAACAGGACUAUAAGAUGGUUGGAAAAUUCACUCUUUAUGGAAAUGAAAGAUGGUAGUGAAAAGUUCUCUAAAUGCAUCAAAAGCAGGAAGUCAAUUAGGGAACAAGUGAGGAGAUGACUGGAGGACAAAAUGUCAGAGGUGCUUGAGUGAUGAGACUGACAAAUUUGGAAAUUUUUAUUGCUGAAAAUGUUGGGGAAAGUCUUGUGCACACAAUAAAUUAUUUGUACCAGAAAAACUGCAUGAAUUCUCAGCCCAAGGAUAUUGGAUUGAUUUUUUUUCCCUUAAACAUUGAAUUAAUCAAUUGGUGUCAAAACCUGAUUAUUAAGGGAGUUGUCAUAUUUUCAGACAGGAGCAAAGUCCCUUCUGAAAAAAUGUGUUCCAACCACGCAGGAAUUACUGUUCUUGGAGCAGGGGUACAUCAGGCUGCCCAUUAAAACUGAGGUGAUGCCAGGCUUGGUUGGCUUGCAGAUGGAGCAACAGCUGGUAAAGCACAUCAAUGCAAAAAUACCUGUCUGCAGCCCCCACCCUUGUAGGAUAUGUCUGUGCUGUGCUCCAUCUUCUGACUCUCUUGACAAAGUCAUCCAGCAUCUCCUUGCUAACAGAGGGAGCAAGGGUCUAGAGGAACGAGCUUGAUUUAAAGGAAGCAGAUACAAGUGUUGAACCCCAUGGAAAUGAGGAGCAAAUAAGCUGCCUAGGCUAUGGCAUCACUCGAGGAACCUGAGCACACAUGAGAAGUGUGAGGGGUUGGAAUAGCAUGGCUUCCCUCUGAAGGGAAAUCCCAGUAGACUAAACUUGGUAUGUGUUCCCUGAGUGAGUCAGAAAGGGUACAGGUAAAACUGUCUAGUGAGUGUUCAGAAAGCCUUUGAUGAGGAUGUGCAGCUGAGAUUAUUAAAACAUGAAAGUUACCACAGGGUUGGAGGAGAGAUGGCCAGUGCACGGGAGGCAGAAGUGGACCUUGGAAAGGGAAGAAAGUUUUGGAAGCCGGUUGGGUUUUGGUGGGUACUCUCAGGACAAAAUGCAGAACAGAAACAUUCUUCCUUUGUGCAGUGGAUUAUAAAAGGAAGCCCCAUUUUUUCAUAAAUAUUUCUUAAAACUAAAAAUAGACUUGUUACCUUUAAGUAAUCAGUAGCGUAGAGGAACUUUAGUUUGGUGUUUCUCACAAUCUGAGGCUUGUUACCUUUAUGGAUGUCUGUUUUUUAAAUAUAAAAUUUUUUUAACUUAAAAAUUAAUUUUUCUCAUGAAUUGCUAUCAUAUUAUUAAUGUCAGGUAUAAUCUUCUUUGGAGAUUAUGAUGGAACAUGACAAAUUAAACUAAUUACACUAUAUCUUUUGUCUUAUGUCAGACUUGACAGCUCGUAUUAUUUGCAGCAUCCUAAGGCUUCAGCAGUUACUGCCUUGAACUCUGGUAACAGAUGAAGAUGCAGGAAAUAUUCUUGAGAGAGCAGUUAAUAAUUAUUAUUACACACAGUGGAUGAAAACAUCUUUAUUCAAACACUCACCCCUGUUGAAAAUUGGUCCAUAAUUUAUAGUGGUUUGUAAUGUUCUUGAUUGCCUUUUAAGAGGUGUUUGUGGGUUGAAAUGUAUUUCCUAUUGGCCUGAACCUUGGAUUGGUGAAACUCUGUUACUGGAGAUUGAAUUUCGAUAUU
Motacilla alba alba is the source of this 3556-nucleotide RNA transcript. It is a transcript of the gene named macrophage immunometabolism regulator, with no coding region annotated. The transcript has 4 exons. The record is from RefSeq and is a predicted model, not a curated record. Lineage: Eukaryota; Metazoa; Chordata; Aves; Passeriformes; Motacillidae.